GCCAGGCUUUUUGCUUGAUUUCUUUUUUAGUCUCUCGUCUAUUUUUCCUUUUUUCUCCGCAUUUUUAAAUACCUUCUUGUUCCAUCGGUACGUAAUAAAAAGUAUUUAUGUUCCUCUAUUCAGAGUCAUUUUCUUUUACUUACCCGGAUGUGGUCGCAUCAAACUCAAAGCUGAGAGAUCGACCACACACUUGUCAUUGGACGCACCCGACACUCAGGGGCUGCGUCCAAUCGACCACAAACUUGUCAUU
RNAcentral lists this long non-coding RNA (250 nucleotides) under Brachypodium distachyon (stiff brome). RNAcentral describes it as "long non-coding RNA (BDIS_LNC002213)". Lineage: Eukaryota; Viridiplantae; Streptophyta; Magnoliopsida; Poales; Poaceae. The record is from RNAcentral.